GAUAAACGCUGGCGGCGUGCCUAAUACAUGCAAGUCGAGCGAACGGACGAGAAGCUUGCUUCUCUGAUGUUAGCGGCGGACGGGUGAGUAACACGUGGAUAACCUACCUAUAAGACUGGGAUAACUUCGGGAAACCGGAGCUAAUACCGGAUAAUAUUUUGAACCGCAUGGUUCAAAAGUGAAAGACGGUCUUGCUGUCACUUAUAGAUGGAUCCGCGCUGCAUUAGCUAGUUGGUAAGGUAACGGCUUACCAAGGCAACGAUGCAUAGCCGACCUGAGAGGGUGAUCGGCCACACUGGAACUGAGACACGGUCCAGACUCCUACGGGAGGCAGCAGUAGGGAAUCUUCCGCAAUGGGCGAAAGCCUGACGGAGCAACGCCGCGUGAGUGAUGAAGGUCUUCGGAUCGUAAAACUCUGUUAUUAGGGAAGAACAUAUGUGUAAGUAACUGUGCACAUCUUGACGGUACCUAACCAGAAAGCCACGGCUAACUACGUGCCAGCAGCCGCGGUAAUACGUAGGUGGCAAGCGUUAUCCGGAAUUAUUGGGCGUAAAGCGCGCGUAGGCGGUUUUUUAAGUCUGAUGUGAAAGCCCACGGCUCAACCGUGGAGGGUCAUUGGAAACUGGAAAACUUGAGUGCAGAAGAGGAAAGUGGAAUUCCAUGUGUAGCGGUGAAAUGCGCAGAGAUAUGGAGGAACACCAGUGGCGAAGGCGACUUUCUGGUCUGUAACUGACGCUGAUGUGCGAAAGCGUGGGGAUCAAACAGGAUUAGAUACCCUGGUAGUCCACGCCGUAAACGAUGAGUGCUAAGUGUUAGGGGGUUUCCGCCCCUUAGUGCUGCAGCUAACGCAUUAAGCACUCCGCCUGGGGAGUACGACCGCAAGGUUGAAACUCAAAGGAAUUGACGGGGACCCGCACAAGCGGUGGAGCACGUGGUUUAAUUCGAAGCAACGCGAAGAACCUUACCAAAUCUUGACAUCCUUUGACAACUCUAGAGAUAGAGCCUUCCCCUUCGGGGGACAAAGUGACAGGUGGUGCAUGGUUGUCGUCAGCUCGUGUCGUGAGAUGUUGGGUUAAGUCCCGCAACGAGCGCAACCCUUAAGCUUAGUUGCCAUCAUUAAGUUGGGCACUCUAAGUUGACUGCCGGUGACAAACCGGAGGAAGGUGGGGAUGACGUCAAAUCAUCAUGCCCCUUAUGAUUUGGGCUACACACGUGCUACAAUGGACAAUACAAAGGGCAGCGAAACCGCGAGGUCAAGCAAAUCCCAUAAAGUUGUUCUCAGUUCGGAUUGUAGUCUGCAACUCGACUACAUGAAGCUGGAAUCGCUAGUAAUCGUAGAUCAGCAUGCUACGGUGAAUACGUUCCCGGGUCU
This 1372-nucleotide ribosomal RNA is filed under the name uncultured bacterium. RNAcentral's name for it is "bacterial SSU rRNA". It matches the Rfam family "Bacterial small subunit ribosomal RNA", at positions 28 to 1381 of the family's 1533-position model. The record is from RNAcentral.